UAAUGACCUCUGGCUCCAAAUACGUUCAUCUCUGCCUGUCACGUGUGGGGCUUUGCUGUUUAUACCGCGUCAGCUUCUCGAAGCCUGUAAUGCGCUCCAAUUAGCGAUGCGUCCUUCCCUCUCCUACGACUCAGUCUAAUUGCUCUUCUCCAUGUCCCUCGACAAUGAGCACACCAUGAGUGUCAUUUGUACCUCUGUGUGGAGGAGGAAGGGCUCAAGUUCAAGGUCUCUGGUGGGGAACCGAGGCAAUUUCAAGUUCACGGACAUCCUCUGCAAUCGCCAUCAACAACUCGUCAAGGAAACAAGACCUUGGCCCUGUUGCAGGCGGAAGUAAGAAACCGGAGGCCCGGAUGCAAGCUAUGAAUUCAGGUUCAAGUAUUCGGGAGAACCAGCACAGGCUGGGGAAGGGAAAGCGGGGUCGAUGUCCCAGAUAACUUGGGUUGGACAGACUUUUAUUCAAAGCCUGGCAGUCAGGGCGCCUGGCCGGCUCGGUGUGUGGAGACUCUUGAUCUCGGGGUCGUGGGUUCAAGCCCCAUGCUGGGUGUGGAGCUUAAUUAAAAAACAAAAAAACCAAACCAACAUCCCAACAGGAAAAGCAUCCCAGUCAUGCAGGCACGGCUUGCAGAUUCUGCCAAAGGUUUCGCAUCCUGUGUUGUCGUGAAUGAGCCUCAACGUUCACGCCAGCAUCCAGAGGACCUGUCACAGCACCUCUGACGUUCCUUGACCAGAGGCAAGUGUUCAGGUCCCAGCUCUGCCACCACGUGAGGGCUGCGCAGGUCGUCUUUCCUCCUGGGCUUCAGUCCCCUCAUUUGUAACCGCGCACCCCUCUGACAUCCCUUGGUGCUGCCCAGGGCAGGAUAAAGGACCCUGCGGGACGGACGAGACCCCGCUUCCGCUGGGGUUCCGAGAAGACCACGUCCGUCUCAGGACAUCCUGAGAUGGGUCCCGGGGAGAGUGACGCCUUGAGGUCGCGAGGGACUUGUGCGGGACUCACAGCCUCUGAUGGAACAGCAAACCUUCAACUUACCAAAAGUUCCUGUUUGGGGUGGGGGACCCCUCCCUCGCCAACGGGCACUCGAAAGAGCGAGUAGCCCCCGGUUUGCCUCUGUAAGUAUCUACGGAAUGAACAACUGUGCAAACCAGUGUGGCCACAAAACCACCUUGGCUGGGCAAGAAUGACGUGCUUCUUGACACGAGGGUUUGUGGCAAAUGCGGAGCCGACCCUCCGGUCUCCCCUCAGCUGCAGCCUCUCACCUCCUCGCGUCUUGCCUCCCGGGGUGGAGGGUGGAGGGAUGGUCUUUGUCCUCCUCUCUCCCCGCCUCUCCCCUCCGCUCCCAGCCAGUUCCCUCACCUGGGGAGACGCUUUCCCGGCUGCUGCCUUUUCUCCAGUCCCUCAGCACAUCCCCGGUUCUUCCAUGGAUCCCAGGCCAGUUUUAAAGGGCAACCAGUACCCCCAGCCUGAAACCGCCACCACUGGCGAAACGCGUGGACCCGUCCUUCAGGGCUCUUUGGGAGGCUGUCUGCGGGGCCCACGUCCCACACUGGGCAGCAAGGCCUUCCCGGGAGGGGGAUGGGCAGCACGCCUCCCGCCCACCCCAGACUGGGGACGGUCGCCAGGGGGCAGAGGUCACAGCCCAGGCUUGACCUGUGGCCCGCCGGGUGUGUGUGAACAGACGGGAACCCCCU
Long non-coding RNA from Herpailurus yagouaroundi (jaguarundi), 1686 nucleotides. RefSeq lists it as uncharacterized. The record is from RefSeq and is a predicted model, not a curated record. The transcript has 3 exons. Lineage: Eukaryota; Metazoa; Chordata; Mammalia; Carnivora; Felidae.